Molecule: long non-coding RNA, 265 nt
Organism: Amblyraja radiata (thorny skate)
Lineage: Eukaryota; Metazoa; Chordata; Chondrichthyes; Rajiformes; Rajidae
Exons: 3
Source: RefSeq, a predicted model, not a curated record
GUUUAGUAAGGAGGGAUUCUAGAGGCCCAUGGCUUCAGAGAGCGGUGGGGCUGAGGGUGGUGGGUGGCAGACUGUAGGUAAGGAAAAGGGGGGCUCUAAGAGAGAGGCAUCGAGCGAAAGACCCGAAAUGUCAGGAGACGAAGGAAGUAAAGUUAGGAGAACUAGAAUUAUUGAAGAAUUUGUCGUGCUGUUUAAAGUUAAAGGAGUAAAUCAAGGAGAUGCAGGAUUUAGAGCAGUGAAUCCAUUAAAAAUUACCACCGCUUUG